CAUCUCUAUGAUGAUAGGCCCCUUCGCAGACUGCAAGUGUUCAGUGACAGCAACAAGAAGAUAUUUCACGUUCCAGCUGGAGGCUGUUCCCAAGGCCUGACCACGAACCCCAGUGGAUCCAUGGUUCAUGUAACUCCUAAUUCUAGUGUGGGUGUGAAACUGUUUGUGAAGGACGGCAGUGGAAACAGAUACUACCUGAGGGUCAACAUAGCUCAGAGCAGCAAUGUUGAGCUCGUCUGUCAGAGCCACGUCGAUAAUGCACAAUACAAUCCCUUUCUGAGGCAAGAAUUGGAGUUUGAUCUGGUUACAGUUGACAUCAAUGACUUGUAGACUCUGAACAUUAUAAUUAUAGUACUGCUCACAUAGAACUGCCGACAAUCGAUCACUCAAUACAAUGACCAUUACUGUAGCAUUGCCAUCUCAAUCGCAAUACUCCUUCAUUAUCAUCACACAUAUCAUCGUUUAUAUAUUAUUGAGAACACA
This is a long non-coding RNA of Halichondria panicea, 483 nucleotides long. RefSeq lists it as uncharacterized. The record is from RefSeq and is a predicted model, not a curated record. Lineage: Eukaryota; Metazoa; Porifera; Demospongiae; Suberitida; Halichondriidae. The transcript is spliced from 2 exons.